GACGAACGCUGGCGGCGUGCUUAACACAUGCAAGUCGAACGGAAAGGCCCUGCUUUUGUGGAGUGCUCGAGUGGCGACCGGGUGAGUAACACGUGAGUAACCUGCCCUUGACUUUGGGAUAACUUCAGGAAACUGGGGCUAAUACCGGAUAGGAGCUCCUGCUGCAUGGUGGGGGUUGGAAAGUUUCGGCGGUUGGGGAUGGACUCGCGGCUUAUCAGCUUGUUGCUGGGGUAGUGGCUUACCAAGGCUUUGCCGGGUAGCCGGCCUGAGAGGGUGAGCGGCCACAUUGGGACGGAGAUACGGCCCAGACUCCUACGGGAGGCAGCAGUGGGGAAGAUUGCACAAUGGGCGGAAGCCUGAUGCAGCAACGCCGCGUGCGGGAUGACGGCAUUCGGGUUGUAAACCGCUUUCGCCUGUGACGAAGCGUGAGUGACGGUAAUGGGUAAAGAAGCACCGGCUAACUACGUG
This 468-nucleotide ribosomal RNA is filed under the name uncultured bacterium. RNAcentral describes it as "partial 16S ribosomal RNA". It matches the Rfam family "Bacterial small subunit ribosomal RNA", at positions 28 to 507 of the family's 1533-position model. The record is from RNAcentral.